AGCUCCAAUAGCGUAUAUUAAAGUUGUUGCAGUUAAAAGCUCGUAGUUGGAUGUCUGAUGCUGUGGUGUGGUCCGUCGCGAGACGAGCACUGCGCUGUGGUGUCUUCCUCUCGAAUGCUGCGUGUGCUCUUAACUGAGUGUGCGUGGGGUUUGGGAUCUUUACUUUGAAAAAUUAGAGUGUUCAAAGCAGGCGAUUGCUUGAAUAUAUUAGCAUGGAAUAAUGGAAUAGGACUUGGGUUCUAUUUUGUUGGUUUCUAGGACUUAGGUAAUGAUUAAUAGGGAUAGUUGGGGGCAUUCGUAUUUAAUU
RNAcentral lists this ribosomal RNA (307 nucleotides) under uncultured eukaryote. RNAcentral's name for it is "SSU rRNA". It matches the Rfam family "Eukaryotic small subunit ribosomal RNA", at positions 587 to 903 of the family's 1831-position model. The record is from RNAcentral.